RNAcentral lists this long non-coding RNA (3445 nucleotides) under Homo sapiens (human). Its description in RNAcentral is "HSALNT0318874". The record is from RNAcentral. Lineage: Eukaryota; Metazoa; Chordata; Mammalia; Primates; Hominidae.
AAGAGAUUUACCAUGUAGUUCUGUGAUCUAAUUGGAAUGAGAAGGUCACACUGUACCUAUUCUUAAAUUGCAUCGUUUGCUUCUCCCAUUGUUACUUGCAUUUUAUGCAGACUCUUACUUGUGCCAGUUAGCUACAAAUUUGGGAUUAUAGUCAGUCCACUGCUCCUCCAGAUAAAUCUGAGGCAAAAUCUACUGCAUUAGCUCUAAUAGAGUCCUUUGCAAGCUUGACCUAACCUGGUCAGGAUCUGUUCUGAUUGAAUUGUAAAGCCUGUUAUGUCUCUUGCUGUACAUUUCUCUUGCUGCUAAAGUCUUCAUGUUUAGUCGGAUAUACUAAUUCUUCCAAGAUCCUGGCCAUCUCAGCCCUACCAUCGGUCUACCCUUUGAGGUGUUUGGGAUUUAACAAAAAUGAACUACUUCUCUUGCCCAUGGAUUACCGGCAUGACAAUAAGGCUCAUUAUUUUCAGAAGCUUGUAACUAUGCAGGAGAAUUUAUAUGUACUUCUGUGUGAUGAAGAAUUGGAUGCAGUCUCUUUGGAAGCUGUGCACCAACAAAAGAUGAAGAAUAGACAAGCCCACUCUUCAUCAGACAGAGUCUAGCUCUGUCACCCAGGCUGGAGUGCAAUGGCUCAAUCUCUGCUCACUGCAAGCUCCGCUUCCCGGGUUCAAGCGAUUCUCCUGCCUCAGCCUCCGGAGUAGCUGGAAUUACAGGCAUGCGCCACCACACCCGGCUAAUUUUUGUGUUUUUACUAGAGACGGGUUUCACCGUGUCGGCCAGGCUGAUCUCGAACUCCUGACCUCGUGAUCUGCCUCCUUGGGCCUCCCAAAGUGCUGGGAUUACAGGAGUGAGCGAUGCACCUGGCCUCUGUCUUCUUAAUCUAUUACUGAGGUGCUGUUAGAUAACAGGAGCAAGAAUUGUUUUGCUAAAAACACUUUAAAAAAAUAAUGCUAAUUUAUUGAUGGCUUAAACUGGUGAAGAGAAUUACUGAUGCCAACAUAUUUGGAACACUUGUCCAAGAUGAACAUUUUGAAAAGUUAUUUUGUUUCCAUAUAUAAAAGACCCAUAAGAUUCUCAAACGCAGUUCUUGAGAACUAAUUGCCAGCUGAAGACAAACAUUAAUUGGAGUCAAGGGAAGAUGGAUACGAGUUUGCACCUCCUCAUUCUUAAAUAAUUAAGAAGCUUGUUCUAGAAUGUGGUUGUUAUGUAGAUGGAAGGGCCUAACUCAAAUCUUUUAAUAUUAAGAGAAAAUAAUCCAUAUCAGAUGACCUCAAGCUGGAGACUGGAGAAUGCUGGAGAUCUCUGAGACACUUUCAAGGGUUCUGCAAGGUCAAAACCAUUUUUAUAAUAAUAUUUUCAAAUUUGCAUUCUUCAAUCCCAUUCUUUCACAAAGGUGAAGUAGAACUUUUCAGACGCUAAAUAGCAUGUAAUAUCACAAUAGAUUGAAUGCACAAACAGCUUAUGAGAAACCAGCUGUCGUUUAUUGUCAGACAUUACAGAGAGUUACAAAGAGAGAAAAUGAUGCCACUCUUGUAAUUUUUUAUUUUGGAAAAUAUGCUUAUUUUCAUAAAAAUAGAAUCAGUAUGUUAACUAAUAGGUGAUUUGUUUGCUCAUGUUAAAUGGAAUAAAAAACAUUUCAUAUUUUCAUUUUUAAUUUCACAUAAUGUAAAUAAAAAUUAAAUCUUACUUAAAACCAAAGCAUUUUGGGGUGCUCAGGAAGUUUUUAGAGCAUAAACGGAUAUUUAAACGCAAAAGUUUGAGAACUACUGAUCUUAAAUUAUAUUGAAUUGUAAGAUGAUUUACUCCCACAAUAUAGUUUAUAAUUUUUCAGGUUGUACAAACCAUCUUAUUUCUUAGUUUGCCUGAAACACAAUGAGUUAGAGUAAUGGCGAUAGAUUUCUUAGCAAUUUGAACAAAAUAGAAUGAUUACAUUUUAUCCAAAGUAUUUUCUGAUUGAUUUAUGGUAUUUGAUAAAAUUUUAUUUUAUUUUUAAGAAAAGACUAGAAUUAGGAAACUGAUUUUAAUAUUUUAAUUCUUUACAGUAAUAAGUAUAAAUUAUUUAUAGGGAAAAUUAAUUUUUAAUAUGAUUUUGAAAUUUGUUUUUUAAAUUGGAAGCAAGAUUUAUAUCAACAAUAAUAAAAUCAAACUUUCUUCUCUUUAAAUUUUACAGGGAUGUGUUUUAAAUUUGUAUUUGUGCAAAGAAAAAUAUCUUUCCAAAUAUACACUUCUAGAUCUCAAUUAAUUUUAUAUAUGUAUAUACCGCAUAACCAACACCAAGAUCAAGAUGUAAAAUAUUUUCAAGAAUAUCCCAUUUGACCAGUUUUAAGCAAACUGUUUUCCAAGAGAUUUCACUCAUUUGUAUUCCCACCAGCAAUCUAGUUGUUCUAUGUCCUUCGCAACCUUUGACAUUGUCAAGCUUUUAAACUGCAGCCAUCCUAAUGUGUAUGUGUCACGGUAUCUUGUAGUCAUUUUAACUUUCAUUUCAGUCGUGAUUACUGCUCUUCAGCCUCUUUCCGUAUCAUUAUGGACCAUCUGAAUAUCUAUUUUGUGAAAUGCUCCUUCAAACGUUUUACUCAUUCAUCAACCAUAUUCUCUAUACUAUGUGUAGACGUUACUUGUAGUCUAUGUGCUUUAUAAAUCUUCUUUCCUGAUCUCUGACCUCUAUAAACAUAACUUUUUAUUGUAAUCAGAACAAAAUAAUGAAUAUGUACUUUGCUGCGUAGUGAUUUUUGUAUCCUUCAGAAAAUCUUUGACAACUGUAACAUCAAAAUGCAUUUUAGUAUGUUUUUUGCUGCAACAUUAUUUUAUAUGUUACAGUAGUUCUAUGAUGAAUCUCAAAUAAAUUAUUUUGUAUUUUGUGAGGAAGAAUAUGAGACUCAUUUAUUUUUCCAUAUGGAUAUGCACUUGAUCUGCCAUCAUUUAUUUCAAAGAACAUUCUUUCCAGAAUGGCCCCUUUUAGUUAAAUCAGGUGGCUACAAUGCAUGGUUUUGCGUCUGAACUGUUUAUUCUUCUCCUAUGAUUCUCUGUUUUUUUUUUCAGAAUUCUCAGAAAUUAUGCCUUUGAAUUGCAGUUUUAGAACAUUUACAUUUAAUGUAUAUAUUAAAUAUGUCAAUUGUGUUUAAAUCUACCAUUCUCAUAUUUGAUGUCUCUCUGUUUUUUAUCUGUUUAUUUCUCCUUUUAUAUUUUCAUUUUUCUUUUGGAUUAAUUGCAUUUUUCUAGCAUUUCAUCUUAUCUGCACUAUACUUUUAUUAGACAUACUUCUUUUUUUAAUUUAUUGCUCUCAAAUUUACAGUAUUCAUAUUUAUCAGUCUAUUUUCAAAAUGUUAUAUCACUUCACAUAUAAUGUAAGAAUCAUACAAUAUUCCCCCUUUGUCUUUUUGCUGUUAUUGUCAUGUAUUUUGGCUCUAAAUAAUAAUAUGUAAAAUAAAAUUAUACAUUAGAUAAAAGGCUU